RNAcentral lists this transfer RNA (73 nucleotides) under Podarcis lilfordi (Lilford's wall lizard). It matches the Rfam family "tRNA". Rfam says of the family: Transfer RNA (tRNA) molecules are approximately 80 nucleotides in length. Their secondary structure includes four short double-helical elements and three loops (D, anti-codon, and T loops). Further hydrogen bonds mediate the characteristic L-shaped molecular structure. tRNAs have two regions of fundamental functional importance: the anti-codon, which is responsible for specific mRNA codon recognition, and the 3' end, to which the tRNAs corresponding amino acid is attached (by aminoacyl-tRNA synthetases). tRNAs cope with the degeneracy of the genetic code in two manners: having more than one tRNA (with a specific anti-codon) for a particular amino acid; and 'wobble' base-pairing, i.e. permitting non-standard base-pairing at the 3rd anti-codon position. Lineage: Eukaryota; Metazoa; Chordata; Lepidosauria; Squamata; Lacertidae. The record is from Rfam by way of RNAcentral.
GCUUGAAUAGCUCAGUCAGUAGAGCCUGAGAGUCUCAAUCUCAGGGUUGUGGGUUUGAACCCCACAUUGGGCA